Molecule: ribosomal RNA, 456 nt
Filed under: uncultured Lactobacillus sp.
Lineage: Bacteria; Bacillati; Bacillota; Bacilli; Lactobacillales; Lactobacillaceae
Description: bacterial SSU rRNA
Rfam family: Bacterial small subunit ribosomal RNA
Source: RNAcentral
GACGAACGCUGGCGGCGUGCCUAAUACAUGCAAGUCGAACGAGAAUUUCUUACACCAAGUGCUUGCGCUCACCGUAGGAAAUUCGAGUGGCGGACGGGUGAGUAACACGUGGGUAACCUGCCCAAAAGAAGGGGAUAACAUUUGGAAACAAAUGCUAAUACCGUAUAACCAUGAUGACCGCAUGGUCAUUAUGUAAAAGGUGGUUUUGCUAUCGCUUUUGGAUGGACCCGCGGCGUAUUAACUAGUUGGUAGGGUAACGGCCUACCAAGGUGAUGAUACGUAGCCGAGUUGAGAGACUGAUCGGGCCACAAUGGGACUGAGACACGGCCCAUACUCCUACGGGAGGCAGCAGUAGGGAAUCUUCCACAAUGGGCGCAAGCCUGAUGGAGCAACGCCGCGUGAGUGGAGAAGGUUUUCGGAUCGUAAAGCUCUGUUGUUGGUGAAGAAGGAUAGAGG